AGAGUUUGAUCAUGGCUCAGAAUCAACGCUGGCGGCGCGCUUAACACAUGCAAGUCGCACGAGAAAGCGGGAGCAAUCUCGCAAGUAAAGUGGCGUACGGGUGAGUAACACGUGGGUGAUCUACCCUUUAGUGGGGAAUAACGCUGGGAAACCGGCGCUAAUACCGCAUAAGCUCGAGAGAGGAAAGCAGCAAUGCGCUGAAGGAGGAGCCCGCGGCCGAUUAGCUAGUUGGCAGGGUAAGAGCCUACCAAGGCGGAGAUCGGUAGCCGGCCUGAGAGGGCACACGGCCACACUGGCACUGAAACACGGGCCAGACUCCUACGGGAGGCAGCAGUGGGGAAUCUUGCACAAUGGGGGAAACCCUGAUGCAGCGACGCCGCGUGAGCGAUGAAGCCCUUCGGGGUGUAAAGCUCUUUCGGCAGGGACGAUAAUGACGGUACCUGCAGAAGCAGCUGCGGCUAACUACGUGCCAGCAGCCGCGGUAAUACGUAGGCAGCGAGCGUUGUUCGGAGUUACUGGGCGUAAAGGGUGUGUAGGCGGUUUUCUAAGUUUGGUGUGAAAUCUCCCGGCUCAACCGGGAGGGUGCGCCGAAAACUGGGAGACUAGAGUGCGGGAUGGGAGAGUAGAAUUCCUGGUGUAGCGGUGAAAUGCGUAGAUAUCAGGAGGAAUACCGGUGGUGUAGACGGCUCUCUGGACCGCCACUGACGCUGAGACACGAAAGCGUGGGUAGCAAACAGGAUUAGAUACCCUAGUAGUCC
Molecule: ribosomal RNA, 758 nt
Filed under: uncultured bacterium
Lineage: Bacteria
Description: bacterial SSU rRNA
Rfam family: Bacterial small subunit ribosomal RNA
Source: RNAcentral